AUUGCACGCUGGCGUCAGGCUUAACACAUGCAAGUCGAGCGCGCGGCGGCCGGGUGCGUAAUGUCUGGGACACUGCCUGAUUGAGCGGGAUAACUACUGGCCCCGUUAUCUACUACCCCAUCCCCUCCGCUCUUCCCCGCUGGGAUUAGCUAGUAGGUGGGGUAAUGGCUCACCUAGGCGACGAUCCCUAGCUGGUCUGCUAGGAUGACCAGCCACAGUGGAAAUGAGACACGGUCCAGACUCCUACGGGAGGCAGCAGUGGGGAAUAUGGCACAAUGGGCGCAAGCCUGAUGCAGCCAUGCCGCGUGUGUGAAGAAGGCCGUCGGGUUGUAAAGCACUUUCAGCGAGGAGGCGUUACUCGCAGAAGAAGCACCGGCUAACUCCGUGCCAGCAGCCGCGGUAAUAC
RNAcentral lists this ribosomal RNA (406 nucleotides) under uncultured bacterium. Its description in RNAcentral is "partial 16S ribosomal RNA". It matches the Rfam family "Bacterial small subunit ribosomal RNA", at positions 30 to 526 of the family's 1533-position model. The record is from RNAcentral.